AGGACGAACGCUGGCGGCGUGCUUAACACAUGCAAGUCGAGCGGAAAGGCCUUUCGGGGUACUCGAGCGGCGAACGGGUGAGUAACACGUGAGUAAUCUGCCCAUCGCUUCAGGAUAGCCAUCGGAAACGGUGAUUAAUACUGGAUAUGACAUUCCUUCGCAUGUUGGGCGUGGAAAGUUUUUUCGGCGGUGGAUGUGCUCGCGGCCUAUCAGCUUGUUGGUGGGGUAAUGGCCUACCAAGGCUUUGACGGGUAGCCGGCCUGAGAGGGUGACCGGCCACACUGGGACUGAGACACGGCCCAGACUCCUACGGGAGGCAGCGAGUGGGAAUAUGGACAAUGGGCGGAAGCCUGAGUCCAGCAACGCCGCGUGAGGAUGACGGCCUUCGGGUUGUAAACCUCUUUCAGCACAGACGAGUUUUAGUCGUUUUGGUGUAAGUG
RNAcentral lists this ribosomal RNA (440 nucleotides) under uncultured soil bacterium. Its description in RNAcentral is "bacterial SSU rRNA". It matches the Rfam family "Bacterial small subunit ribosomal RNA", at positions 26 to 471 of the family's 1533-position model. The record is from RNAcentral.